GGUUAAGCGACUAAGCGUACACGGUGGAUGCCCUGGCAGUCAGAGGCGAUGAAGGGCGUGCUAAUCUGCGAUAAGCGCCGGUAAGGUGAUAUGAACCGUUAUAACCGGCGAUACCCGAAUGGGGAAACCCAGUGUGACUCGUCACACUAUCAUUAACUGAAUCCAUAGGUUAAUGAGGCGAACCGGGGGAACUGAAACAUCUAAGUACCCCGAGGAAAAGAAAUCAACCGAGAUUCCCCCAGUAGCGGCGAGCGAACGGGGAGGAGCCCAGAGCCUGAAUCAGCAUGUGUGUUAGUGGAAGCGUCUGGAAAGGCGCGCGAUACAGGGUGACAGCCCCGUACACAAAAGCGCAUGUGCUGUGAGCUCGAUGAGUAGGGCGGGACACGUGGUAUCCUGUCUGAAUAUGGGGGGACCAUCCUCCAAGGCUAAAUACUCCUGACUGACCGAUAGUGAACCAGUACCGUGAGGGAAAGGCGAAAAGAACCCCGGCGAGGGGAGUGAAAAAGAACCUGAAACCGUG
This 520-nucleotide ribosomal RNA is filed under the name Salmonella enterica. Its description in RNAcentral is "partial 23S ribosomal RNA". It matches the Rfam family "Bacterial large subunit ribosomal RNA", at positions 1 to 560 of the family's 2925-position model. Lineage: Bacteria; Pseudomonadati; Pseudomonadota; Gammaproteobacteria; Enterobacterales; Enterobacteriaceae. The record is from RNAcentral. RNAcentral also lists the same sequence under 4 other names.